Molecule: transfer RNA, 76 nt
Filed under: Syntrophomonas curvata
Lineage: Bacteria; Bacillati; Bacillota; Clostridia; Eubacteriales; Syntrophomonadaceae
Also listed under: 5 other names
Description: tRNA-Glu
Rfam family: tRNA
About the family: Transfer RNA (tRNA) molecules are approximately 80 nucleotides in length. Their secondary structure includes four short double-helical elements and three loops (D, anti-codon, and T loops).
Source: RNAcentral
GGCCCCAUCGUCUAGUGGCCUAGGAUGCCGCCCUCUCACGGCGGAGACAGGGGUUCGACUCCCCUUGGGGCUACCA